AGAGAGCACUGAAAGGGCUAGGGGGCCUACCAGCCUACCAAACCUUAUCAAACUCCGAAUGCCAGCAAGUGUUAUCUCGGGAGGCAGUCUACGAGUGAUAAGAUUCGUGGACGAGAGGGAAAGAGCCCAGAUCGCCAGCUAAGGUCCCCAAAUCUAUGCUAAGUGGAGAACGAUGUGGGAGCGCUUAGACAACCAGGAGGUUGGCUUAGAAGCAGCCAUCCUUCAAAGAAAGCGUAACAGCUCACUGGUCUAGCGAACCUGCGCGGAAAAUAUAACGGGGCUCAAGCAUAGUACCGAAGCUGCGGGUUCUCGAAAGAGAGCGGUAGGGGAGCAUCGAAGUUGCCUGCGAAGGUCGACCGCGAGGACGGCUGGAGGCCCUUCGAGAGAGUAUGCGGACAUGAGUAGCGAUAAAACGAGUGAGAAACUCGUUCGCCGAAAACCCAAGGUUUCCUGGGCAAGGUUCAUCCUCCCAGGGUUAGUCGGAUCUUAAGUCGAGGCCUCACGGCGUAGGCGAUGGGAAGCAGGUUAAUAUUCCUGCACUACGACAUCAGCGAAGAAGCCAGCGGGGACGGAGAAGGCUAGACGAGCCGAGAGCUGGAAUACUCGGUUCAAACACGUAGGGGUCACUUAUACGAUCAAAAGGUAGGUGAGCUAUCCCCGAGAUGUGAUGAGAGUCUACGGCUUCGGCCACGGACGAACUCGUCAAUGCCAAGCUUCCGAGAAAAGCCGCGGGUGGAGCUGUUGUGGUAUCCGUACCGGAAACCGACACAGGUGGGUGGGUGGAGAACACCAAGGCGCUUGAGAGAACUCUGGUCAAGGAACUCUGCAUAUUGCCACCGUAACUUCGGGAUAAGGUGGGCCUGCUUUCGUGAAGCGUCUUGCACGUGGAGCGAAAACGGGUCGCAGCAAAGCGGGGGUAGCGACUGUUUACCAAAAACACAGGCUUCUGCUAAGUCGAAAGACGACGUAUAGGAGCUGACUCCUGCCCGGUGCCGGAAGGUUAAGGGGACUGCUCAGCGCAAGCGAAGGCAUGAACCGAAGCCCCGGUAAACGGCGGCCGUAACAAUAACGGUCCUAAGGUAGCGAAAUUCCUUGGCGGGUAAGUUCCGUCCUGCACGAAUGGAGUAACGACUUCCCCACUGUCUCGACCAGAGACUCAGCGAAAUUGAACUCGCGGUGAAGAUACCGCGUUCCCGCGGAGGGACGGAAAGACCCCAUGAACCUUCACUGCAACUUGGCCCUGACACUCGGGAUUUAUUGCGUAGGAUAGGUGGGAGGCUUUGAACUUGGGAUUCUGGUUCCGAGGGAGCCAACCUUGAAAUACCACCCUGUAAAUUCUGGGUGUCUAACCUAGACCCGUUAUCCGGGUCAGGAACACGGUCUGGUGGGCAGUUUGACUGGGGCGGUCGCCUCCCAAAAAGUAACGGAGGCGCGCGAAGGUCCCCUCAGCCUGAUUGGAAACCU
This 1464-nucleotide ribosomal RNA is filed under the name metagenome. RNAcentral's name for it is "bacterial LSU rRNA". It matches the Rfam family "Bacterial large subunit ribosomal RNA", at positions 902 to 2340 of the family's 2925-position model. The record is from RNAcentral.